AACAAUUCAAUCGGAUGCACCCCCUUCAUUUGAUGGGAAAGACAAACCAACCCUAGCAGAAGAUUGGGUUCAAGAUAUUGAGGAGAUAUUUCGGAUCUUGACUAUU
Juglans microcarpa x Juglans regia is the source of this 106-nucleotide long non-coding RNA. RefSeq lists it as uncharacterized. The transcript has 3 exons. The record is from RefSeq and is a predicted model, not a curated record. NCBI's taxonomy places the organism in Eukaryota, Viridiplantae, Streptophyta, Magnoliopsida, Fagales, Juglandaceae.